UUCUAGUCUGCAGCCCGACUUGAGUGGAGCUCUCCCCCGUCCUAUGACGGGGGAAGCGGGAACGGAAGGCGCAUGAAGC
This 79-nucleotide unclassified non-coding RNA is filed under the name Kaistella antarctica. Its description in RNAcentral is "Chryseobacterium antarcticum Flavo-1 RNA". The record is from RNAcentral. Lineage: Bacteria; Pseudomonadati; Bacteroidota; Flavobacteriia; Flavobacteriales; Weeksellaceae.